Molecule: ribosomal RNA, 500 nt
Filed under: uncultured eukaryote
Lineage: Eukaryota
Description: SSU rRNA
Rfam family: Eukaryotic small subunit ribosomal RNA
Source: RNAcentral
GGUGGUGGUGCAUGGCCGUUCUUAGUUGGUGGAGUGAUUUGUCUGGUUAAUUCCGUUAACGGACGAGACCCCCGCCUGCUAAAUAGUUAUAUCAAUGCUUAGCAUUGGUAUUAGCUUCUUAGAGGGACUUUUGGUGACUAACCAAAGGAAGUUGGGGGCAAUAACAGGUCUGUGAUGCCCUUAGAUGUCCUGGGCCGCACGCGCGCUACACUGACACACGCAGCGAGUCUUCCUUGACCGAAAGGUCCGGGUAAUCUUGUAAAUGUGUGUCGUGAUAGGGAUAGAUUAUUGCAAUUAUUAAUCUUGAACGAGGAAUUCCUAGUAAAUGCAGGUCAUCAGCCUGCGUUGAUUACGUCCCUGCCCUUUGUACACACCGCCCGUCGCACCUACCGAUUGAAUGGUUCGGUGAAAAUUUUGGACUGUGACUCGGACGCCUUCGGGCGACUUUGUUGUGAAAAGUUAUCAAACCUCAUCGCUAGAGGAAGAGAAGUCGAGCAUCU